UACAGAGGGGGCAAGCGUUGUUCGGAAUUACUGGGCGUAAAGGGCGCGUAGGCGGCCUUCUAAGUCGAACGUGAAAUCCCUGGGCUCAACCCAGGAACUGCGUCCGAUACUGGAAGGCUUGAAUCCGGGAGAGGGAUGCGGAAUUCCAGGUGUAGCGGUGAAAUGCGUAGAGAUCAGGAAGAACACCGGUGGCGAAAGCGCUCUGCUAGGCCGCAACUGACACUGAGGGACGAAAGCUAGGGGAGCGAAUGGG
Molecule: ribosomal RNA, 253 nt
Filed under: uncultured bacterium
Lineage: Bacteria
Description: partial 16S ribosomal RNA
Rfam family: Bacterial small subunit ribosomal RNA
Source: RNAcentral